GGAUUGUAGCUCAGGGGUAGAGCGCUUGCCUAACACAUUUGAGGGACUGGGUUUGAUCCUCAGCACCA
Molecule: transfer RNA, 68 nt
Filed under: Marmota monax (woodchuck)
Lineage: Eukaryota; Metazoa; Chordata; Mammalia; Rodentia; Sciuridae
Description: tRNA.Val
Source: RNAcentral